This 346-nucleotide long non-coding RNA is filed under the name Hordeum vulgare. RNAcentral's name for it is "long non-coding RNA (HVUL_LNC007161)". The record is from RNAcentral. Lineage: Eukaryota; Viridiplantae; Streptophyta; Magnoliopsida; Poales; Poaceae.
AUGCUAAUAAAGGUACGUGGAAACGUAUGACCGUUGCCCUCCGGGGGGUUACGAUGUACAGAGUGGAAUCCAGUCGGUAAGUUUGAUACGCUCUGAAUGCUCAUCUCCGACUGGAUGAUGGAGGAUUCGUCACCGACUGGAUAAUGGGAAGUCCUUAAUUCAGUCGGAACUGACUAAGGGCCUUAUCCCUUAUGAAGGGUAGUCCUUGGGUAGGACCCAUGGGGCAGGCCUAUGACCCUACCCUAGGACUAUAACCCCAUCACCGUUGAAUUUCUCACAACGAGCUCUUCAAAACUAGAUCCCAUAUCGACAUGUUUCGAUAACUUUUUUCACGUCCGUACUUGCC